This 215-nucleotide long non-coding RNA is filed under the name Physcomitrium patens. RNAcentral's name for it is "long non-coding RNA (PPAT_LNC005625)". Lineage: Eukaryota; Viridiplantae; Streptophyta; Bryopsida; Funariales; Funariaceae. The record is from RNAcentral.
ACUGUACGCGUGCAUUAUGCCAAAAAGAGUGACAAUAGCUCCCAAAUCAUCACCUUAACUUUGAGCACCUAUAUCUCCUUCAUUUAAACUCCAAACCAUAUAAAACUUGUACCAAAACCAUAGCCAAAAACCUAAACUUGCCGAUCUUGGCCUUAAAAGCUGGAAUUGCCCCCAAAAACUAACCCUAAUCUCUAAUAUGGCCUCGGAUAGCCUCC